Linepithema humile (Argentine ant) is the source of this 2871-nucleotide non-coding RNA. The record is from RefSeq and is a predicted model, not a curated record. NCBI's taxonomy places the organism in Eukaryota, Metazoa, Arthropoda, Insecta, Hymenoptera, Formicidae.
GCGAUGAAAUGACUCCGAACUGCCUCACAUGAUUUCGAUUCACGUAGAUCUUCGUUUUUAGCACUUCGUGGAACUAUAAUAUUACGCGACGAAAUCAAUUACGUAGUAUUGCGUGAUGAAGUCGAUAAUCUAUAAUGUUACAUGUAAAAAAUAAUUUAUAAUAUUACGCGAUAAAAUAGACACGAUAUCAGUAACGAUUAUCUUACAAUUAGUAAGCGAAAUGCUAAAUGUAAUCAGCUACUUGAAUUUCGCACCUUUCGGAGGAGAAAAUCCGUCCGGGAGGGGAUUUUGCUUGAUCGCAGAUUUUUUUUCUUACGUUAAUGAUCUCUAUUUCUCUUUUUCUUAAUAGAUAUUUAUAAUAAAUUAUAUAUUUCACUUUACAGAUAUUUUUCGGUUGAACGCUAUCCCGUUCCAUUUUUAAACUAAGAUACAAGUCCUUUUUGAUACGGAACUGAGAAAUUCCUGGAAGAAACCCAUGAGCAGAUGCGUUGCGAAAGCUUGCGGUGAAGAUAAGAGUCCGGCGACGAAAAACGCUUAAUUAAUUAUGUUAUAUAAUGUUCCAAAAUUGGCAACUAGCAGGCACAAAAGUUUGCGUCCCUUGUGAAAUUCGUGAGUCCAUCUUUCCUGAAAAUCGCAGAGGUCAUCCAUUUGUCACAAUCCUUCACAUUUCAAUAUAUUUGAUAUUUUAUUAAAGAAUUCUCAAAUUAUAAAACUUCUUCGAAGUAAAUUUUCAAGGAAGAAUAAUCAUCUCUUAUUUAUUCACGCCUCUGAGCUUGACUUGUGAGAAGUCCUGCACAUUUUCAUUGGUUCAUAGCUCGCAAAAUAUUUAUUUAUUUUUUUUUUAUCAUGAUAUUUCGUUGACAAAAAGCAACUUCACAAAUUUCGGCAGCAUUACUGUGUAUUCGUUUUUUUCCUUCACUUUUAGGAAACUUUAAUUAUUUUACACUUUUAUAUUCAUCAAAUUGCAUUUUUAACAAGAACAAAAAAAAAUAAUUUACAGAAAAAUACUACGAAAAAGAAAUUUGUAGCUUUGCUUUUUUUGACAAUUAUUGCUAAUUUGAAUGCUUUGUCAAAGAUACUUGGAAACUAUAAAAUACAUAUCAAACUAAAUAAUCAAAAAAUAAAUAUAUAAAAAAAAGGGCAGACAUACAGAGAUAGUUCUUUUCGUUUUGAUACAUCGCUUUUCGCAGUCUUGCCUCUCACACAUAGGAUAGUGAUAUUGUACGAAAUUGUUUAAUUCUUUAAGAGUGAAAAAUUACACUGCCGAACAAUAAAGCUAUGCUUUGACGGAUGAGAGUGUGCAAUUGAAUUUCUUUACAGAAGUAUGCAAGAGAGUAUCGAAAAAGUUUCGAGACUGAUCAAUUAUCAUAAAACAAAGUUUGAAAGAAAUCUAUGGCUUGCCGCUUUUCAAACUUUCCAAAUUUAGUUUUUUUUUUGUAAGUAAUAGAUAAGUAGAUGGUAUGUCUUAAAUUUUGUCUGGUAGAUGCAGUCUUAAAUUUUUUUUUGUAAAAUAGAAAUUGUGUGAACGACGAAGUACUUCUGAGAAUAACAAUUCCUAUUUUUUUAUACUUUUAGAAAAAAAGAGAAAUAUCCAACAAAUUUUUGAAGGAUUGAUGAGGAUGGGAAAUAACUGAAUGAAAUAACUUAUUGUUUCAUCCCAAGAAAAUAAAUUUAACAAAUAUAUUAGACGCAGUUCUACAAAAUAAUGUUCGGUACAACUAGACUAGACGUCUUAUCAUAACACUGAUUCCAAGGGACCGCUUCAAAGGAAGACAAGCCAGACACAAUAUAUUCUUUUCAGGAUUUCGUUUUAUUUUGCAAUUCACUCAGCUCUGCAACUUUUUGGACACAUCUUGCAUAUUAUCAGAUUCGAAUUACGCAUUCUUCUCCAAUAUUGCACCUACGAGAAAAUUAUGUAUCACGUUUGUAAUGUGUCACGCGACUUUCCAUCGUCACAGCGAGUGAUUAGUUUUUUUUUUUUUCUUUUAACAUAUUCGCCGUAAAUUACACAUACAAUGAACGAAAGGAAUUUUGAGUAGAAAAUCUUUACGACGUGCUUAGACAAAAAUAUUUUUCGCUUAAUUAAGGCACCGAUGUACCUAACUUAUCGGUAGCUUGAAGAAAUCGCGUUGCUUUCUAUAUUUGCGCGACAAGAGCCCCUGUACAGUCUUGUGAAAUACUUUAAAAUCUGCAAAACGACUUGAGAACUGCAGCAAUCGCUCAAAUUUUGUUUAUGUACUUCUGUUGAAUGUUAUUUGCCUAUUCUCAAGAGUAAUCCUCGCGUUCACUCCUUUUUUUCUCGUUUACUUUUUCCUCCUCGAUAGAAUUUCGUAUUAAAUUGUUUUGGCAUAAAUUACACGGCAUGAGCUAGAAAAGAGAAAAAGAUGUAAACUUAUUUACGCGUAGGGCACAAUACACACUGUCCGAAUGCAUUGGCAUUCUUCUCUCUCUCUCUCUUUCCCGAAUGAAAUUAUCGUACCCAAAAUACGUAAAAAGCGGACCGUUGUCAUGUACCAUCGUUCGCUCGAAGAUGAGAAAUUGAACGUCAUCAACACCUAUUUUAUUAUCGUGUAAAAAUAAUGCAGUGCUAGUGUCGCGUUUCAUGAUAUCAACUAUUCUGUAUCUACAUAAUUUAUAUCUCACAAUUAACAACUCAUUUCGCUUACGAUCACAAAAUCAAUCACGCGAAUGCCUUUUGCUCUGACGUUUUUGUAACUCAGCACUGAUCAUGUUUUUUUUUUUUCUUUUUUCUUUGAAUGUUCUCUUAAUUUUUUCACCACAACGACAACGAUAACGAUGACAGAGAUGAUGAUAAUAAUGAUGGUAAUGAUAACAAUAGUUUGUGAGAAUAAUAGGGGAGAAUAGAAGCGA